Long non-coding RNA from Pungitius pungitius (ninespine stickleback), 1167 nucleotides. RefSeq lists it as uncharacterized. NCBI's taxonomy places the organism in Eukaryota, Metazoa, Chordata, Actinopteri, Perciformes, Gasterosteidae. The transcript is spliced from 2 exons. The record is from RefSeq and is a predicted model, not a curated record.
AAAAAAAUAAAACCCAUCAUUUCCCACCAGUCUGCGCACCGACGGAUCGUUCAAAACAUUACGCAUCGCGGCCGGAGCCCCGCUGCACUACUCGACUGAAGUGAAACCUCACCGGGCCCCGGGGAGCGGACACGUUGCGGACAAACGCCAUCAUCGCAGGUUGCAGGAGCAUCUGCACGGAGCAAAGGCGGCGUUUUAGACGACAGCAACAAAAACAACAACAAAAAAAUAAAGAAACGAAAAAAGGUCUCCGCGGCGGGCGCAUCAUCGGCGCCACACUGCUCUACGCUUUUAGCCUCUUUACAGUGCUGCCUUGUCUGAUCAGGUUCAAGCAGCAUUGUACAGGGCUAUGACAGCAUAGAGAGCCGAGCUUCUCUGACCCUUUGGAUGGCAGCCACCCAAUGACCUCAUCUGCGAAGAACUCCGAACGGCGAGGAUGGCGCGUGAGCGGAGAUGUUGCCGAUUUGAGUGAUUUGUCUUGUUGUUGUUUUGUUUGGUUUUUUUUGCAUGCCGAUGUGGUCUUAAAAAAAAAAAUGACAUGCGUUGCUUUUGUUGUUGGGCUUGAGGAAAAACUGGAGCACAUGGAGAUCUCUCUGGGUUGAAUUAUUCAAAGCAAAUUUAAAUCCCUCUGCAGCCGAUGCAUUAUUGAACCAAUUAGUCACAUCGCAUGCUGCGACUGGAUUCACCCAUCUGCACUGUCUCCGUUUCCCCAUCAAGAGCUGCUGCUGUUCUGAACAAGCCGUUUCCCAAAACCGUCGGAUAUGCUGAAGCACCUUGAUUUAAAACCGUUUUAAUUAACAGUUUUUAAAAAAAAGCAGUUUAAACAGGAGAGGGUUUUUUGGAGUCCUGAGCUGUAGGGCUGUCUUUCAUCUCAGAAUAAAAAAAACGAUCACCACAUUCCUCACUGACAAAUCCUAUUGACCCAAAUGUGACAGCUUCAAAAGCCUGUUUUUCUGUCCAACCAAAAGUCAUAUUUAGUUUAGUAUCACGGUCAAGAGAUGAAAAAAAAAACAGGAAACCCUCACAGUUGAGAAGGUAAAACUGAUUUAUUUUUGCUUGAAAAAAGACACUUGAUUAUCAAAAUAGUUGCCUGUUUUUCAAUCAUAUCACAUUAUCUCUUAUGUAGCACCAGAAAUAUAUUGUGUACUAUUAAAAUGUUUAAAAGCA